This is a long non-coding RNA of Nelumbo nucifera (sacred lotus), 608 nucleotides long. RefSeq lists it as uncharacterized. NCBI's taxonomy places the organism in Eukaryota, Viridiplantae, Streptophyta, Magnoliopsida, Proteales, Nelumbonaceae. The record is from RefSeq and is a predicted model, not a curated record.
GGAAACAACCUUACCAAAAUCCAUAUUCCAAACCACGGCCUUUGUUAAGUUGCUAUUAUAUCACAUGCUCUUCUCCUCUCCUCACAAGUCACAAGCAUUGCCUAGAUAUAUGAUUGCGCAUUUUGAACGAAAAGGGUGAGUGCACAAGCACGACGACACAUACCCCCAUUUCUCUCCCUCUGCCUUUCUCUUGCCCCUCUCGGACAAGGUGUGACGUGUUAAUGAAUCCACUUGCAUCUAUUAUAUGUUGGGUUUUCCAGGAUUGAACAACGAGAGCUCUGAAAGUUUUUCCUUUUCUCUGCAUUCUUUUUUAUUGGGUGGACUCUCGUUUUGGGUCUCAGAAGAUGGGGAUUCUUUUGGAAAUCUUUGAGGGACUGGCUUUGUUUGUUUCCACUCUCUGGGCUCUGCAAGAGAGGCGGUUCAACGCCAUUUUCGAUUCUGUAAGUUCUGUUGCGAGAUCCGCUAUCAUGACUAUUGCUUUCUGUUCUAUACGGCGCAGGAGAAGAUGAGGGGAAUUUCUUACUUGAUUCUAUAUUGAUAUGUGAAUUUGAAGUCUGUUUGUUACCGAGUCUGAGAGAAUUUUGGAAACGAAGAAAGGCUUAUGGAUC